This 253-nucleotide ribosomal RNA is filed under the name uncultured bacterium. RNAcentral describes it as "partial 16S ribosomal RNA". It matches the Rfam family "Bacterial small subunit ribosomal RNA", at positions 524 to 776 of the family's 1533-position model. The record is from RNAcentral.
UACAGAGGUCUCAAGCGUUGUUCGGAUUCAUUGGGCGUAAAGGGUGCGUAGGCGGCGCGGUAAGUCGGGUGUGAAAUCUCGGGGCUUAACUCCGAAACUGCAUUCGAUACUGCCGUGCUUGAGGACUGGAGAGGAGACUGGAAUUUACGGUGUAGCGGUGAAAUGCGUAGAGAUCAUGAGGAAGACCAGUGGCGAAGGCGGGUCUCUGGACAGUUCCUGACACUGAGGCACGAAGGCCAGGGGAGCAAACGGG